Drosophila mojavensis is the source of this 1479-nucleotide long non-coding RNA. RefSeq lists it as uncharacterized. The transcript is spliced from 3 exons. The record is from RefSeq and is a predicted model, not a curated record. Lineage: Eukaryota; Metazoa; Arthropoda; Insecta; Diptera; Drosophilidae.
UGUGGAAGUGAGCAGAUUUUCCAAGCAAUUAGUGGCUGGAAAAGCGCAUGCCAAAGGGACAACAAGGUCCAACGACUGGGUUAACUGGGCGACACAUAAGAAGCCAGCAUUUACAUAUGCUAAAUGUGCACAAGUGUGUGUGUGUGUGCAUGUACAGUCUGUGCGAAAAGUGGGCAAACAACUUGGCCUUGGAACAAAGACGAGAAAUUAAAGUAGCAUUGGUUAUAUUUGGUUUGUAAAUUCAUUUAUGUUAAAAUAUGUCAAAUUUUAUGUAUGCUCAUUACAAAAUAUUAUUAUGUGUUUUUCCAAAUAGAUAAUCCUUAACCUAAUUAACCUUCGAAUAUUAAGCCUCACUAUAUUUAGUAUUUCAGAAACAUGAGUUAGGAGCAUAGCUGCGGGAUCUGUACAUAAAGAUGCCAGAGCUUUGUGGCCACAGACAAAAAUCCGCAAUUCUGAUUGCAAGCGGAAGCUAAUGUUUAUCAAACUAUCAAACAUCAAACAUCUCCCGAAAAUAUUAGACUAAGCCUUAUAAAUCAUGAGCGUUUAAAAAAUAUAUAUGUAUUUAUAUACAAUAAAAUUGAUUCCAUUUAAAAAAAAUUCUAAUCGCUGUACUUUUUUACUUUUCGGAAAUCAGAAUGAUAUAGAUUCUAAUUUGAAUAUAGUAAGAAUAUGCAAGAUAAAAAAAUAUAUAAAUUUUGUUGCAUACUUUCUAAGGAGGACUGCCGCGGCUGCAAUUUAGACGAAAAUCUGGCUGAAAUACCAGGCGUAAAGAAAUGACUAACAGGGAGAAAAAUGUAAAUCAAGAUCCCACUGUUAACUAACAGAGUGGAACAUAUUUUCGCUGUAAAUUAGCAGAGCAUGCUGAUAAGGCCAAGAAGGAGAUCUACGUGCAAAUCUGGCUGAAGUACCAGGCGAGGAGAAUUAGCAGCAUGCAAAAUGUUAAAUAACAGAGUGGAACGUAAAUUCGCUGCUAAUGAGAAGAGAAUUUUGGUUGAGUGAUUUUAAUUAUGAAACUCAAGAGCAUCUUCAGCUGCUAGACUGCAGUACCUGCUUUAACAUAGCUGUUAGUUCAACUGCGGGUCUUUCUGUUAAUUUCCUGUGCUUAUGUACAUACACUGGAUGUUGAACUCAAAAUAUAACCACAUUGAGAGCAGCGGCAGGUGACUGGAGGCUAUUAAAUCAAAGAGCAAUCAUAUAUUUUGAACUAUAUUACAUAUUAUGGUCCUGAAAUCCUAUAAUCAAGCAUAAUCAAGCAUAUGUGGGUCAACUGGGAACGAUUACAGCUUGCAUUCAUACAAUGAUUGCACAUUGGCAAAGGCUUAAAUUAUUUAUAAACAAAAUUGCAAAUUAAUAGUAACUAGCAUUAAAUGAGAGAUAGAACAUAUAGUUUAUAUAUUUAUAUUUGGGACCGGUUUGCCGUCCAUGUUCAUGUGGCAUUUCUAAAAAUAAAUAAAUCAAACUAUAAAAUAUUUAAACAAA